GAUGAACGCUGGCGGCGUGCCUAAUACAUGCAAGUCGAGCGAACGGACGAGAAGCUUGCUUCUCUGAUGUUAGCGGCGGACGGGUGAGUAACACGUGGAUAACCUACCUAUAAGACUGGGAUAACUUCGGGAAACCGGAGUUAAUACCGGAUAAUAUUUUGAACCGCAUGGUUCAAAAUGGAAAAAGGACUUUCUUUUCCUUAAUAAUUGGUUCGGCGCUGCAUUAGCUAGUUGGUAAGGUAACGGCUUACCAAGGCAACGAUGCAUAGCCGACCUGAGAGGGUGAUCGGCCACACUGGAACUGAGACACGGUCCAGACUCCUACGGGAGGCAGCAGUAGGGAAUCUUCCGCAAUGGGCGAAAGCCUGACGGAGCAACGCCGCGUGAGUGAUGAAGGUCUUCGGAUCGUAAAACUCUGUUAUUAGGGAAGAACAUAUGUGUAAGUAACUGUGCACAUCUUGACGGUACCUAAUCAGAAAGCCACGGCUAACUACGUG
This 497-nucleotide ribosomal RNA is filed under the name uncultured bacterium. RNAcentral's name for it is "partial 16S ribosomal RNA". It matches the Rfam family "Bacterial small subunit ribosomal RNA", at positions 28 to 507 of the family's 1533-position model. The record is from RNAcentral.